This 200-nucleotide ribosomal RNA is filed under the name uncultured bacterium. Its description in RNAcentral is "partial 16S ribosomal RNA". It matches the Rfam family "Bacterial small subunit ribosomal RNA", at positions 28 to 237 of the family's 1533-position model. The record is from RNAcentral.
GAUGAACGCUGGCGGAGUGCCUAAUACAUGCAAGUCGAGCGGCAGCACGAGUAGUUUACUACUUGGUGGCGAGCGGCGGACGGCUGAGUAACGCGUGGGAACGUGCCCCAAAGUGAGGAAUAACUGCCCGAAAGGGUAGCUAAUACCGCAUAUGAUCUUCGGAUUAAAGUAUUUAUUACGCUUUGGGAGCGGCCCGCGUC